Molecule: ribosomal RNA, 116 nt
Filed under: Nitratifractor sp.
Lineage: Bacteria; Pseudomonadati; Campylobacterota; Epsilonproteobacteria; Campylobacterales; Sulfurovaceae
Source: RNAcentral
GGUGGUGUCGCUAGAGGGAGGGUCACACCCAGCUCCAUCCCGAACCUGGAAGUUAAGCCUCCCAUCGCCGAUGAUACUGCCGGCUACGCUGGUGGGAACGUAGGUCGAUGCCGCCU